UUAAUCUUGGUAUUCAUAGUGCAUAUAUUCAAAGGCAUACCAAGUGCACAUUUUCAUAUCUAUGAUCGAUAAACAAUAAUGCCAUAGAUAAAAACUCUCAAUCAAGCAUAUAGAGAAUUCAUAGAGUUAUUCUUAGCAACUUAUCCAAUAGUGAGUAAAUCAUACUAUAAAAUGAAGUGAUUUGAUAAUAUUUUCAAAAGUAUUUUCUAUAUCACAAAAUUGAUCAAUACUUGCAAUUCAUAUUUUAAUCAAAUACUAAAGCAAAAGUAAUGAUGAGAUGCAAGGGUUACUGAUUUCAUUAUUAUUAUU
RNAcentral lists this long non-coding RNA (309 nucleotides) under Phoenix dactylifera (date palm). Its description in RNAcentral is "long non-coding RNA (PDAC_LNC021515)". Lineage: Eukaryota; Viridiplantae; Streptophyta; Magnoliopsida; Arecales; Arecaceae. The record is from RNAcentral.